AUUAUAUGGUCAAGUGAAUAAGCGUACAUGGCGGAUGCCUUGGCGAUUACAGGCGAUGAAGGACGUGGAAGUCUGCGAAAAGUUUCGGGGAGCUGGCAAUCAAGCUUUGAUCCGGAAAUGUCCGAAUGGGGAAACCCGCACAGGCUUAAAACCCUGUCAUCCACAGCUGAA
RNAcentral lists this ribosomal RNA (171 nucleotides) under Ignatzschineria ureiclastica. RNAcentral's name for it is "partial 23S ribosomal RNA". It matches the Rfam family "Bacterial large subunit ribosomal RNA", at positions 1 to 162 of the family's 2925-position model. Lineage: Bacteria; Pseudomonadati; Pseudomonadota; Gammaproteobacteria; Cardiobacteriales; Ignatzschineriaceae. The record is from RNAcentral.